ACUAACAAGGAUUCCCCUAGUAACUGCGAGUGAAGCGGGAAAAGCUCAAAUUUAAAAUCUGAGGGUCUUUAUGGCCUUCCGAGUUGUAAUCUAGAGAAGUGCUAUCCGCGCUGGACCGUGUACAAGUCUCCUGGAACGGAGCGUCAUAGAGGGUGAGAAUCCCGUCUUUGACACGGACUACCAGGGCUUAUGUGAUACGCUCUCAAAGAGUCGAGUUGUUUGGGAAUGCAGCUCUAAAUGGGUGGUAAAUUCCAUCUAAAGCUAAAUAUUGGCGAGAGACCGAUAGCGAACAAGUACCGUGAGGGAAAGAUGAAAAGAACUUUGGAAAGAGAGUUAAAAAGUACGUGAAAUUGUUGAAAGGGAAACGCUUGAAGUCAGUCGCAUUGGCCAGGGAUCAACCUUGCUUUUGCUUGGUGUAUUUUCUGGUUAAUGGGUCAGCAUCAAUUUUGAUCGGUGGAAAAAGAUCAAGGGAAUGUGGCAUCUUCGGAUGUGUUAUAGCCCUUGGUUGUAUACAUCGAUUGGGAUUGAGGAGCUCAGCACGCCGCAAGGCCGGGUUUUUAACCACGUACGUGCUUAGGAUGCUGGCAUAAUGGCUUUAAUCGACCCGUCUUGAAACACGGACCAAGGAGUCUAACAUGCACGCGAGUGUUUGGGUGGAAAACCCGAGCGCGUAAUGAAAGUGAAAAUUGAGAUCCCUGUCGUGGGGAGCAUCGAUGCCCGGACCAGAUCUUUUGUGACGGUUCCGCGGUUGAGCGUGUAUGCUGGGACCCGAAAGAUGGUGAACUAUGCCUGAAUAGGGUGAAGCCAGAGGAAACUCUGGUGGAGGCUCGUAGCGAUUCUGACGUGCAAAUCGAUCGUCAAAUUUGGGUAUAGGGGCGAAAG
RNAcentral lists this ribosomal RNA (882 nucleotides) under Tricholoma myomyces. RNAcentral describes it as "eukaryotic LSU rRNA". It matches the Rfam family "Eukaryotic large subunit ribosomal RNA", at positions 64 to 929 of the family's 3401-position model. Lineage: Eukaryota; Fungi; Basidiomycota; Agaricomycetes; Agaricales; Tricholomataceae. The record is from RNAcentral.